GAUUGGAUGGGUGAGAGGGAUUCAAUGGGAACAGAGAACAGAGGUUCUCAUUGCUGAGAUGGCAGGGGUCAUAGGGUAAAGACCGGAGAAGCCACUAGGAGUUAAGAAAAGGUCCCCACCAGCAGUCAGAAAGGAAACAGGGACCUCAGGCCUGCGGCUGCGAGGAACUGAACGCUGCCAACCACCUGACCCCUGUCACGGACUUGCUGGAGUGUUAACUCUUUGAAGCCUCACUCCUGCCUGUGAAGAAGCUGCUGCAGUCCUGACUCCUGCGUCACAGACUCGCUUCCCCUUUCCUCAGGAAAAGGAUGUUGGAACAUGAACUGCAAGGAGCUCUCAGAUCUGACAUUCCCGGCUGUUCUGAUCUUUCAGUCCUCUGCAGGACGGAGGCUGUGUGGACGGAGGCUGUGUGGCUGGAGAUCCCACCGUCUCUGAGUUC
Pongo pygmaeus (Bornean orangutan) is the source of this 439-nucleotide long non-coding RNA. RefSeq lists it as uncharacterized. NCBI's taxonomy places the organism in Eukaryota, Metazoa, Chordata, Mammalia, Primates, Hominidae. The record is from RefSeq and is a predicted model, not a curated record. The transcript is spliced from 3 exons.